RNAcentral lists this ribosomal RNA (292 nucleotides) under uncultured bacterium. RNAcentral's name for it is "partial 16S ribosomal RNA". It matches the Rfam family "Bacterial small subunit ribosomal RNA", at positions 505 to 796 of the family's 1533-position model. The record is from RNAcentral.
GUGUCAGCAGCCGCGGUAAUACGGAGGGGGCUAGCGUUGUUCGGAAUUACUGGGCGUAAAGCGCACGUAGGCGGACCUACAAGUCGGGGGUGAAAUCCCGGGGCUCAACCCCGGAACGGCCUCCGAAACUGUGGGUCUGGAGGAUGAGAGAGGCGAGUGGAAUUCCGAGUGUAGAGGUGAAAUUCGUAGAUAUUCGGAGGAACACCAGUGGCGAAGGCGGCUCGCUGGCUCAUUUCUGACGCUGAGGUGCGAAAGCGUGGGGAGCAAACAGGAUUAGAUACCCUUGUAGUCC